UUGAACGCUGGCGGCAUGCUUUACACAUGCAAGUCGAACGGUAACAGGCCUUCGGGUGCUGACGAGUGGCGAACGGGUGAGUAAUGCAUCGGAACGUACCCAGAGGUGGGGGAUAACGCAGCGAAAGCUGUGCUAAUACCGCAUGUGAUCUGAGGAUGAAAGCGGGGGACCGAGCAGCAAUGUUUGGCCUCGCGCCUUUGGAGCGGCCGAUGUCGGAUUAGCUAGUUGGUGGGGUAAAGGCCUACCAAGGCGACGAUCCGUAGCUGGUCUGAGAGGACGACCAGCCACACUGGGACUGAGACACGGCCCAGACUCCUAAGGGAGGCAGCAGUGGGGAAUUUUGGACAAUGGGCGCAAGCCUGAUCCAGCAAUGCCGCGUGCGGGAAGAAGGCCUUCGGGUUGUAAACCGCUUUUGGCAGGAACGAAACGGUGUCCGCUAAUACCGGGCGCUAAUGACGGUACCUGCAGAAUAAGCACCGGCUAACUACGUG
This 491-nucleotide ribosomal RNA is filed under the name uncultured bacterium. Its description in RNAcentral is "partial 16S ribosomal RNA". It matches the Rfam family "Bacterial small subunit ribosomal RNA", at positions 29 to 507 of the family's 1533-position model. The record is from RNAcentral.